CCUGGUCUUGACAUCCACAGAACUUUCCAGAGAUGGACUGGUGCCUUCGGGAACUGUGAGACAGGUGCUGCAUGGCUGUCGUCAGCUCGUGUUGUGAAAUGUUGGGUUAAGUCCCGCAACGAGCGCAACCCUUAUCCUUUGUUGCCAGCGAUUAGGUCGGGAACUCAAAGGAGACUGCCAGUGAUAAACUGGAGGAAGGUGGGGAUGACGUCAAGUCAUCAUGGCCCUUACGACCAGGGCUACACACGUGCUACAAUGGCGCAUACAAAGAGAAGCGACCUCGCGAGAGCAAGCGGACCUCAUAAAGUGCGUCGUAGUCCGGAUUGGAGUCUGCAACUCGACUCCAUGAAGUCGGAAUCGCUAGUAAUCGUGGAUCAGAAUGCCACGGUGAAUACGUUCCCGGGCCUUGUACACACCGCCCGUCACACCAUGGGAGUGGGUUGCAAAAGAAGUAGGUAGCUUAACCUUCGGGAGGGCGCUUACCACUUUGUGAUUCAUGACUGGGGUGAAGUCGUAACAAGGUAACCGUAGGGGAACCUGCGGUUGGAUCACCUCCUUACCUUAAAGAA
RNAcentral lists this ribosomal RNA (569 nucleotides) under Salmonella enterica subsp. enterica serovar Derby. RNAcentral's name for it is "partial 16S ribosomal RNA". It matches the Rfam family "Bacterial small subunit ribosomal RNA", at positions 974 to 1533 of the family's 1533-position model. The record is from RNAcentral. RNAcentral also lists the same sequence under 1 other name. Lineage: Bacteria; Pseudomonadati; Pseudomonadota; Gammaproteobacteria; Enterobacterales; Enterobacteriaceae.